RNAcentral lists this small nuclear RNA (126 nucleotides) under Otolemur garnettii (small-eared galago). RNAcentral describes it as "U4 spliceosomal RNA". It matches the Rfam family "U4 spliceosomal RNA". From Rfam's summary of the family: U4 small nuclear RNA (U4 snRNA) is a component of the major U2-dependent spliceosome. The structure of U4 snRNA from yeast and human has been reported. The record is from Rfam by way of RNAcentral. Lineage: Eukaryota; Metazoa; Chordata; Mammalia; Primates; Galagidae.
AGCUUUGUGCAGUGGCAGUAUCAUAACCAAUGAGGUUUAUCUGAGGCACGAUUAUUGCUAUUUUUAAUAUUAUCUAUAUACUUCCUUUUUUUUCCUUUAGGUAACUCUUGCAAGAGUUUUCUAUUU